This 253-nucleotide ribosomal RNA is filed under the name uncultured bacterium. Its description in RNAcentral is "partial 16S ribosomal RNA". It matches the Rfam family "Bacterial small subunit ribosomal RNA", at positions 524 to 776 of the family's 1533-position model. The record is from RNAcentral.
UACGUAGGGUGCAAGCGUUAUCCGGAAUUAUUGGGCGUGAAGCGCACGCAGGUGGUUACUUAAGUCUGAUGUGAAAGCUCCUGGCUUAACUGGGAGAGGUCGUUGGAAACUGGGUAACUUGAGGUGAUGAGAGGGGUGUGGAAUUCCCGGUGUAGUGGUGGAAUGCGUAGAUAUCGGGGGGAACACCAGUGGCGAAAGCGGCACCCUGGCAUUGACCUGACGCUCAGGUGCAUAAGCGUGGGUAGCGAACGGG